GCGGCCCGGCGGCUGGGGCGCACCCCCCUGGCCUGGUGGCCCCAGACCCGCCUGAGCUGGUGGCUGGAGGGAGGCCACACUGGAAGGAGUAGGAGGCCUGUGCAUGGUUGAAAACACACUUUGAUUCUGUACCUGGGGAGCGCAGUCGUUUCCCUCGGUGCCAACCCCCAAUAUUGGAUAGUCCUUGGAUGUAACGGUGAUUGUGGCUUGGACCCCGCCAGCCAAAUCAGGGCCUGAAAGAGCGAGUGCUAAAUGUGAGGAAAACGGGAAGGAGCGUCCUGGCGGGGCCACGUGAGAAUCUUAGCAGUGAUUGGAAAUAAACUCUUGCCCUGGAAUAAUCUUGACAAUUGAAACUGACAUGUUUACUUUUUUGUAUUGAUCCCUUUUUUUGCACUCCUUGUUUUCAAUGUUGUAUUCAGCCCCUGGUGGCGGGGACACGGCUGUGCAGCGCAUACAAGACGGAGAGACAGUUUCAAGCGGACGGGCACACGUUGCCGACGGAGCACCGAGGUAUCGGAGGGCGGGCCCGCCUGCCGGUCACCGCAGGCAGAUUCGGCGUCCGGAGAACCGGCACCCUCGCCCUUCCCCGUUUACCGGAAAAGCUUCUGAAAACCCAGGUGUCGCCCGUGGUCGGCAUCGGACAGCUUCGUGGACCAGUCAGCAGCCACGUCCGUCACUCGCUCUCCACACAAGGUGCCGCGCUCGUGCUCCGAGGUGCCCGUCUUCCGCAGCCAGGAGCCUUCGUUUCCGGGGACGCCCCGCGCCACGCCCGCAGGGCGGAGUCCCCCGCUGGUUGGAGACAGGCAGCUUUCUUGAGACUCUGCUACUCUCAUCUGCCCGUGGUCCGUCCGCCGGCUCACCUGCCGCCUGUUCUAGAAGGAUCACCGCCUGGCCCCGCGGUGGCCUGAGCCUCUUCAUGGCUGUCCUCCCUUGGGGACUCAAGGUUCUGAUAAGAAAAUGUCACCCGCUUAGCUUCCUGCAGAGACCCGCAGGUUUCCACGGUGACACGGAUGGAAACAUUGAAAGGGCACGACCCCGCCCGGAUUGGCAGGUUUCUAUGGUGACACGGAUAGAAACAUUGAAAGGGCACCAUGUCUCCGCCCAGAUUUGUGAGUUUCCAUGGUGACACGGAUGGAAGCCUUGAAAGGGCAUGUCUCCGCCCAGAUUGGCGGGUUUCCAUGGUGACACGGAUGGAAACAUUGAAAGGGCACCAUGUCCCAGGCCCGAUUCCCAGGUUUCCAUGGUGACACGGAUGGAAACCUUGAAAGGGCAUGUCCCCGCCCGGAUUUGCGGGUUUCCAUGGUGACACGGAUGGAAACAUUGAAAUGGCAUGUCUCCGCCCAGAUUGGCGGGUUUCCAUGGCGACACGGAUGGAAACAUUGAAAUGGCAUGUCUCCGCCCAGAUUGGCGGGUUUCCAUGGCGACACGGAUGGAAACAUUGAAAUGGCAUGUCUCCGCCCAGAUUGGCGGGUUUCCAUGGCGACACGGAUGGAAACAUUGAAAUGGCAUGUCUCCGCCCAGAUUGGCGGGUUUCCAUGGCGACACGGAUGGAAACAUUGAAAUGGCAUGUCUCCGCCCAGAUUGGCGGGUUUCCAUGGCGACACGGAUGGAAACAUUGAAAUGGCAUGUCUCCGCCCAGAUUGGCGGGUUUCCAUGGCGACACGGAUGGAAACAUUGAAAUGGCAUGUCUCCGCCCAGAUUGGCGGGUUUCCAUGGCGACACGGAUGGAAACAUUGAAAUGGCAUGUCUCCGCCCAGAUUGGCGGGUUUCCAUGGUGACACGGAUGGAAACCUUGAAAGGGCAUGUCCCCGCCCAGAUUCUGGUUUCCAUAGUGACAUGCAUGGAAACAUUGACAGGGCAUGUCCCUGCCCAGAUUGGCGGGUUUCCAUGGUGACAAGAAUGGAAACAUUGAAAGGGCACCAUGUUCCAGGCCUGGAUUCCUGCGUUUCCAUGGUGACAAGGAUGGAAACAUUGAAAGGGCACCAUGUUCCAGGCCUGGAUUCCUGGGUUUCCAUGGUGACAAGGAUGGAAACAUUGAAAGGGCACCAUGUUCCAGGCCUGGAUUCCUGGGUUUCCAUGGUGACAAGGAUGGAAACUUUGAAAGGGCACGUCCUGGCCCAGCUUUGCGGCCUGUGCCUGAUGCCCCCGGCCUGAGACCCCGGCACGGGAGGCAGCUGGCGGCCUCUGCCGCCUCGUCCCUCACGGCAGCUGGGACGUGGACCAGCCUCGUCAGCAGGACACUGCUUCCCGCUCCGGGGCCGCUCGGACGGUGCCCGGCCCAGAGGGGUGUCCCCAGGUCUGAGAGUGGCCGUGUCUUUCUCUUCUUUGGUCUCUGACGAGCACACAGCCCUCUGUGGUGCAAGUGAUUUUCUUGUCUAGUAGCAGUUCCGCUUUUGACUGGCCUCUGCAUGUGCCCCCCGACCCACCGCGGGGCCCCCGAAACACAGGCCCGGCCUCGGGCUGCACCGUGGGCCAGUCCGUGGAGGGGAAACUGUUACUCCACAGGCCACUCUGGUUGUUUUCUGUGCCUGUCCAUUUAUGCAGAUGAAGAAGUUUUAGUAAGACGUUUUUAGCUAUAGUUACUCAAUUGUGUUUUCUUUUUUGUACCCAGUUUAUCUUUCAUAGCAUUGACCUUAGGCGGGCCUCCCAUUGUGCUGGCGGGCGCUGCCCGGACCACCGCGGGACUGACUCUGCCGCUGCCGCCCCUCACUGGCUGGAGGCGAACCUGAGCCCGGGCCAGGUCCCGGCCGUUCCUGUUGAGUAGACCAGGCCCAGCAGUGAGACGGGGCCCGCCCCCCUCCCCCGUAGAUGGCUAGUGUUUGCGGCAUUUCAUAUUUAUACGCACGCGUUUUUAUUUAAAGGACAGCAGGAGCCCGACUCUGACUCAGUUUUGCAUGUAGCUGUGUGCCCGGCCCUUGGUACCUUCCCGGCCUCCAUGAAUGGAUGGCGAGUGCAGGUUUGGCACAGGGCGUCCUCGCCCUGCCCGGCUGGGAGGGCCACCUGACAGCAGCCGGUCCCUGGACGAGGCAGUGUCCACCCGCCAGCCAGGGGCUGAAGACAUUCGGCCUUUAUUUUUGUAUUUCGGUGACAUGAAUGUAAACGGGACAGCUCAGGGUCGUUUGGAGCCUGUUGAGUUUUUAUCUGCCUGUGAUUUCUUUUCUUUUUAAGUGAUACUCGUGUCACAGCCUGGACUACAUCGAGAAGGAAGACGCCGGUGUUUUGGGUGUCGCGCCCCCAGCAUGCUGGGGGCCAGAGUUCCAGGAUGCUUUUUUGUUUGCUAAACUUUGAAGAAAUAUGUGCCUCAGUCUAGAAGUUUUGUCUUCUCUCCUCUGCACGUGACACCUGGCAGUUUGACCAGCCGUCUCACCUUUCAGGGGUGGGACUCGCUCGCAGGAGUUUGAUGUCGGCGAGCGCGGUCCGGCGUGCAGAGGCGCAGGGACAAGCUCUACUCAUGUGCUUUGCUCCUCUGUACAUAGCUCCUCAGCUCAUGAACCUAAGUAUACACUUUCAGGUAUUUUUGUACCAAUAAGGGACUGGUGAUCUGUUUCUUGUAAUUUGAAAUAAACAUUAAUAAACAUACAGUGUUCUUCAUUUUC
Long non-coding RNA from Myotis davidii, 3596 nucleotides. RefSeq lists it as uncharacterized. The record is from RefSeq and is a predicted model, not a curated record. NCBI's taxonomy places the organism in Eukaryota, Metazoa, Chordata, Mammalia, Chiroptera, Vespertilionidae. The transcript is spliced from 2 exons.